AUGAGUUGCUACGUGGUCAGCUCUAGCGGCGUUGCGUUCUGGUUCGCCGUAGAGGAGAGGAUCGGGCACCGGAGGGUUUGCGCAUGCAAGAUGUUCGAUGUCGGUCCCCAGAGGAGGAGGGUGGGGAGGCGCCUGGUGGGUUUUGCCAAGAAGAGGAGGCGUUCCAAGAGGCAGCAGCCAUGGUGGAAGGCGUGGUUCUCUGAUUGGAACGAUGAGGAAGAGAGCCUCGCCGGCUGGAGGGAGGAUGAUGAAUUGCUCCAGCAGGUUGUUAGCAACGAAGACCUGUCGGAGGAUGACAAGUUUCAGACAUGGAAGAGCAAGGCCGAGGCGAUUGUCGACCUGCGGGAAGCCCAGCAGGAUGCCGAAAAUGCAGAAGGGCGGUCAUGGGAGGAUUGGAUAGGUUGGGGCAGCACAUCCGGCGAUGGUGACUGGGGCGGGGGUGGGAGCUUGUCGGACCAGAUAACUGAUGAUCCGACGGAGAUAGUGAGGGACAAGGGCAUCGCUGAAGCUUUUAGGGACUCUAUUGAUGAAGAUUACAACGACAUGUUGUUUGAGGACCGGGUUUUUCUAUACGCUUCGACGAAAUCGGCCAAAUUCCUAGCAUUGUUGAUCGUUGUUCCAUGGGUGUUGGAUCUUCUAGUACAUGACUAUGUUAUGAUGCCAUUUCUAGACAGGUAUGUCGAGAAGGUACCACUCGCCGCUGAAAUGCUUGAUGUAAGACGCAGCCAGAAGAUUCAGAUGAUAAAGGACCUAAAUAUUGAGAAAGCAAGAUUCCGUUUUGAAGUAGAGAUCGGUAAAUCUCCUCCACUUUCUGAUGAGGAGUUCUGGUCAGAGUUGCGGGAAAAAGCGGUAGAGCUGAGGGAUGAAUGGAGAUUAGAAAACCGACAAGCAUUUGCAAAUAUCUGGUCUGAUAUGGUUUAUGGGGUUGCCCUAUUCCUUCUUAUGUACUUUAACCAGAGUAAAGUUGCAAUGAUAAAGUUCACAGGAUAUAAGUUGCUAAACAAUAUCUCGGACAGUGGGAAGGCUUUUCUUAUCAUUUUAGUGUCAGAUAUCCUUCUAGGGUACCAUUCGGAGGCAGGUUGGCAUUCAUUGGUGGAAAUUAUUCUUGACCACUAUGGACUGGAAACAGAUCAAGCUGCAGUCACCUUUUUCGUUUGUCUGGUUCCAGUUGCCCUGGACGUAUUUAUAAAGUUUUGGGUGUACAAAUACCUUCCAAGACUAUCACCUAGUGUGGGAAACAUCUUGGAUGAAAUAAGGCGUCACUAG
RNAcentral lists this ribosomal RNA (1266 nucleotides) under Triticum aestivum (bread wheat). Its description in RNAcentral is "partial small subunit ribosomal RNA". Lineage: Eukaryota; Viridiplantae; Streptophyta; Magnoliopsida; Poales; Poaceae. The record is from RNAcentral.